RNAcentral lists this long non-coding RNA (429 nucleotides) under Phoenix dactylifera (date palm). RNAcentral's name for it is "long non-coding RNA (PDAC_LNC020322)". Lineage: Eukaryota; Viridiplantae; Streptophyta; Magnoliopsida; Arecales; Arecaceae. The record is from RNAcentral.
UGAUGGUGUGCAUGCAGAGGGCUAAGCAUGAAUUUCAGAAAAUUUUUAUGCGGAAAGAACGGGUUAAACAUUUUAACCCAAAACAUGCUUGAUAUUUUAGAUAUUUUAACUCUGGUACCAGUCGAAGACAGUCUUCAACUGCACAUCGCAUGUGGCGCGGGCUCAGUCCCAAUACAUAGGGUGACACCCGCGCGUGCCUAUCAAAGCACUCAUCAUAUGAGCCCCCGGGUGGAGAGCCACGCUUCGUCACACGAUCACGCGUGAGAGUUCCCGGGAAUCGGAUAGUCUCCACUAAUCCUUUGCUUUGACACCAAAUAUCACAAAGCCCUCAGAUUCCGAGGAUUGUGUGAUUCAAAUAAAUAUGCAUAAAUCACAACUUCUUGUGAUUUGAAGAUUGAGAUCAUAUUUCAACCGUAAAAGAGAUCAGAU